UCUUCCUUCCCAUCCGAAAUUCUGUUUGGGAAAUCGUAACAAACAGAUAUUUCUUACCUCUCAUACCUGCUGUUUGGGUUUUACUGCAAAUAAAUAACUUGCAGGCAACAAAGCUAGGACUCUAUACAAUCCUCCAGAUUGCUAUUAUUAUUAUUAUUAUUUUGUAAUUAAAAAAUCACUCCCUUGCUCUUUCUCUCCUUCAGGAUAAUUAUUUAAUGUAAAUGAGUCCUCCUUGCACAGACACUGCCUCUCUUUCUCAGGCUUUUCAUCUUUGCCAGGGCUGACUAAAAAGCCUGCCUAUGGCCGAGAGCUCGGCUCAUGUUUGGGAAGAAAACUGCAAUCUGACGUUGCAAUAGCAGCGGCAUGAAGGGCCCCUUUGUGCUCCUCCUCGCGUGUCUGAAUGCUGCAACCUGCCUGCCCUGGAGGCUCAGCCCCGGUCAGGAGGGCAGGAUGCGCCCCUCUCCUGUCGGAGGCACGGUGCUGCCCGCAGCCCUGCCCCACGGCACCCAGAGGAAAACCCAGCCCAGCUGGAGCAUCUGCCAGGGCCAGCCCAUACGUCUCCUACCCAGUUUUCCUGCUCGAACAACGGGCCGGAGGAGCUGCUAUCUGCUUAAUUGUAAGGCUCGGUUUGUUUCCUUUGUUUUGAUAUAGCAGGCUGUUGUUACAAGGGACAACAGAUUGUUUCUGAUAGCAGGUUGUUGUGACAGGGCGAGCUGCCUUUAGGUGACAUGCAGAAAACAGAGUUCACAGCUUAAGGACAUUUAAGAUGCAGGCUGUGAGCUGGCAGCUAAGCAGCAGAGCAUCCCCGCAGCCUCUGUGUGUUGGGUAAGAACAGAUAUAAGAAAGCCUUCACAAAACCUGUCUGAAUCUCCCGAGUGGUACCCCCACUCCCACAGCACCUCUGGCUUUCCCCUGUUGUAGACAAUGAGCUUUCUGGCUCCCAUCCCUCCUUCCUGGGUUUACUGAGCUUCCUGAAGCAGUUACAUCAGUCUUGCCAGGAGCCCGUGAGGGCUGGCUCACUGCCCUACCCUUGUCCCCAUUUUGAACCUCUCUCCUUGUGGGAUGUUUGCUCUUGGGUCCCUGGUCCCCAUGGCCAUCGGCAAGGAAGAGAUGCUUCAAUCAUACGGGAGCAUGAAUGAGGGUUCCUCUGAACUGGGCAGGCACCAGUACCAGGGGAUGCUUUCCCUUGAGAGAGCACAUCCCUGCUGAGAGGGGGGACCACAGUGCUGUAAAACACCAGUCUCUACUUCCUGCAGCUGGGUUUAAACAAGAGAGAAAGCCUGAGCCUGUGUUUGUCUUUCUGUCUUGGCACCUCCUUGAAGUUUUUUGGUAGCAACUGCUGAGUGCUCAGCACUUAAAAAUACACAGAUGUAACAUGCAAUUGAAGUCAAACCUAGGUUGAUAUUUUGUUUGUUUGAAGUCAGAUCGCAGUAUUAUUAGGUGACUUGUCUCAUUCACUCAUCUCACUUACAGGUGAUGUCCUCAUCACCUGCCAAGUUUCCUGUCGACACUUGAUGCGUCUGUAUACACACAUGUAAGAGCAUACAUUAAUCUUGUAUGGGGAAACAGCUAUGAGGGAAGGAAGAACACUAUUUCCAUUUCUUGGUUAUCAGGCAACACUUAUCAUGUAGCAACUUUCACUAUUAGAUUUUGUAGGAAAACAAACAACAAAAAAGAAUAGAUCAUUUUCCUUUUUUUUUUUUUUUUUUCCUUCAGAUUUUCUUCUUUACAAACUUCCUCACUAGGAAAGAAAUAGAUUUUAACUAUACUGGAUGAGGUUCUCAGAUGGAUUUUGUAAUCAGAACACAGAAUCCCUUCUGUGGACAGAUGGAUGCAUUUAGGGAACCCGGACUGUCCUCAUCUCAGGGCACUGUGCCUAAAACUGGAGGGUUCCUGAUGGAUGCCUGCAUGGAAGCGUGCCAGUGGUGGCAUGUCCCCAGCCAGCUGGACCCAGGACCUGUCCAGCCGUACUGGGAUUCAUCAUGGGACCUUUGGAGGAGCAUCUUUCCCUAUCGGUUCCCAAGUGGAAAACAGGAGAAGAGACACCUGGCAUAGGCGGGCGGAGGGCACCGGGCACCCAGCUGCAGAGGGUCUGGGCACACUCCGAGGAGUUUUCACUAGUGCCACAGUCAGGUCCUGGUGUCGCAGGACCAGGGCUCACCUCUUACUGGGGCCCUGGUGUGGAUCAGCCCUGCUGGCUGGUCACAGCCCCAGCCUGAGCUGUGCCAGGGGAGAAAAUACCCCAGACAUCAGUGAGCAAUCCCACUGGGCCUGGGGGCCCUCGGAGUUCACUGAACUGGUUUGCCCCUUCUCUUGCUUAGCAAGUUGCUUUUACAGAGGAAUUGUAUCACGGGCCUUGUAUCACAUCACACUUGUUAUAUCAUCGGCUGGAGAGCUUCUAUUUAUGGCGUUUAUUGCUUCCAGCUCUUAGAGGGCCACUUCCAACCAGCUUUAAAGCCAACGUGCCUGAAGUGGGAUUUUUUUUUUUAAAUGAUAGUAAUUAACCUUUGAAUUGCCAACUUCACCUUUGCUUAUUCCUUUCCGACAGGGAGUUAUCUGCACACGAAAUGCCUGUCUUUGUAGGAAAUGGGAACCUGCUGGUCCGUGUAUUUGCACUUACUGCUUAGCUCAUUCAGGAUGAAAGGCCAGGAAUAUGCUGACACUGUAGUAUGUGUUGUCUUUUCCCUUUCCCUUUCCCCUUCUCUUUCCCUUUCCUUUCCUUUCCUCUUUCCCUUUUCCAUUUGGGCUCAGGUUUUUCCAUUAUAAACCCAAUUCCGCAUUUAUGUACCAAAGCAGAUUGUCAACAUUUUUAUUAUAAUAAUAUCUAUAAUGUUCACAGACACGACUGAAAGAACACUGUUGGAAAGCUGUUGAUAUACUUGGGGCUUACAUAAGGGUUCAGCAGGUUAACUUUCCCCCCUUUGAUAAAGUAAUAGCUGGGAGGGGAGGGCUGAUCUCUGUAGCAGGCAGCUUCACAUCUUCUCCAGAGAUCCUAUAUCCAUCGGAUGUCCCUAGGGGACAGAUUUAACCAAUACUAAAGUCAACGGGUGGCAGCUGGGGCCUCAGGGGUCAUGAGCACCACAGCUGCUCCCAGCUGGUGUGCCCCAUAGUACAAGCAAGUCCAGCUGAGACGUGUCCCUGUGAUGACACCACUGUUAAAUUUUCAGUGCCUGUGAUGCGGGGCACAGGCUGAGCAUGCAGCUGGGUGUGCGGGCUGAACAGACUGCAGCCAACACCUGAGCUGGCACUGAGCCUCCUGAAACAAGUUAACGAGAUGGAUUUUUUCUGAGGACAGACAGAUCAAAAUGGGAUGUUGGUAUUGAGCUGGUGCUCAACAUUGCACACCCAGACGAGGUGUGCUGGCAGUGUGCCACGAGGCCAAGACCCAAAGAGCUGCGGUCUGCAGGUCUUUGAAGCCCCAGCAGAGCUGUGUUGGCCUUGGGGAAGCUCAGCCAUGGACAGUGGUAAGGAGGUGCAGGUCCUCUAAGCCUCCCAGUGGAUUCACAGCAGCUGGGCUGAUUCCCACUGCUGAGAUAAAUAAAGGGCAGCUGAAGGCAGAUGCAUCAGGCUGCCUCCAUAACAAAACACAUUGAACCUGUGCUGCUCUCGCUUGAUUCAGCCACAGCACAGGCAGUGGCUUUGAGCAGAUGCUGAGGGACACUUCAUAUUGCUGUGCUUCCAAAAUAGCCAGUCUUUUUUUUUUUUUUUUACUACAGAGCAGGCAGCAACAUAUUAAAAAAAAAAAAAAGUAUAAAUAAAUACACAAGGAGAUGGGAUGCCGCUCUGUGAGAGCUAACCCUCCCUCUCCCCUCCUUCAGCUCACUGAGCUGCUUGCCUUUUUUAUUUUGGAUUUACACCGCUGGUGGGAAUGUACAUUCCUCAUGAUUUCAAACAGCUGGAUUCUGUAUCCAAGGGCUCCGGCUCCCAAGACCAAUCCAGAUUUAUGCAAAGUUUACACAAACACGAACACAAAUAAAUAAAUAAGUGGGAAGUCUGGGAAGCACACCCCAAGCUUCUGACCCCUUCUUAUUGGAAAGGGUUUUGUUGCUCCCGUGUCUCAGGGUAACCCUCAAUUAACUCGUGAAAGGCCGGAGAGGCAUGAAUACAGCAGUGUUUGCUUUCUGGGAAGGAUCCCAGCAGCUGGACUCUCCUUGGCGGGACACCACACAGUGCUUUGG
Molecule: non-coding RNA, 4178 nt
Organism: Anas platyrhynchos (mallard)
Lineage: Eukaryota; Metazoa; Chordata; Aves; Anseriformes; Anatidae
Source: RefSeq, a predicted model, not a curated record